Molecule: ribosomal RNA, 440 nt
Filed under: uncultured bacterium
Lineage: Bacteria
Description: partial 16S ribosomal RNA
Rfam family: Bacterial small subunit ribosomal RNA
Source: RNAcentral
CCUACGGGAGGCAGCAGUAGGGAAUAUUGCUCAAUGGGGGAAACCCUGAAGCAGCAACGCCGCGUGGAGGAUGAAGGUUUUAGGAUUGUAAACUCCUUUUGUUAGAGAAGAUUAUGACGGUAUCUAACGAAUAAGCACCGGCUAACUCCGUGCCAGCAGCCGCGGUAAUACGGAGGGUGCAAGCGUUACUCGGAAUCACUGGGCGUAAAGAGUGCGUAGGCGGGGUAAUAAGUCAGAUGUGAAAUCCUGUAGCUUAACUACAGAACUGCAUUUGAAACUGGUACUCUGGAGUGGGGGAGAGGUAGGUGGAAUUCUUGGUGUAGGGGUAAAAUGCGUAGAGAUCAAGAGGAAUACUCAUUGCGAAGGCGACCUGCUGGAACAUUACUGACGCUGAGGCACGAAAGCGUGGGGAGCAAACAGGAUUAGAUACCCGAGUAGUC